This 814-nucleotide long non-coding RNA is filed under the name Brachypodium distachyon (stiff brome). Its description in RNAcentral is "long non-coding RNA (BDIS_LNC001894)". Lineage: Eukaryota; Viridiplantae; Streptophyta; Magnoliopsida; Poales; Poaceae. The record is from RNAcentral.
GCCUCCUCUUAUUGUUACGUUUUACAGAUGGCUAUGAGUAUGAUACCAAUUCAAUCUUCUUAAUUCUGGCUAUUUUGUAAAUAUCUGUUGUAUUAUGCUUAGCACAAAUAUGUAAUGCAGAAUCGCUAUUUUUCACAUCAUGUGCUCAGCUGCUCAAUAUGACUAACUAAAAGAUUGAAAAAUGUUUUAGGUCAUUAGUUUGUUUUUUAACUUGUGUUUUUGGAAAGUGUUCUUGUUCUGGCAAAUUAUUUGAUUAGGGCAUGGUCUGGAACACUUGUUGAGCCCUAGUGCUGGAUACAUCUAUUAGAAAUUUGUGUGCACUUUAUUUUGUGAUCACUAUUUGUAUGUUGUUAUGCUUCAGAUCUGUCUUGGUUACAUGCUAAUCCAACAAACUGUUUAUAUGGUAUUAUGGCAUGACUCUAGGAUACUAUUUUAUCUUCGGCUGAAUCACAUGAAACCAAACAAACAAUUUUAAGGCCUAUCGUUUGCUUGGCCUCUAAUAACAUUCUUCUCAUGCAUGCUAAUUUCUGCAGUUGGAGAUUUGAACCAUUUGAUCUCUGCAACCAUGAGUGGAGUGACAUGUUGCUUGAGGUUCCCUGGCCAGCUGAACUCUGACCUCCGGAAGUUGGCAGUGAACCUUAUCCCAUUCCCCCGUCUCCACUUCUUUAUGGUUGGGUUCGCCCCAUUGACCUCCCGUGGCUCCCAGCAGUACCGGUCCCUCACUGUCCCCGAGCUUACCCAGCAGAUGUGGGAUUCCAAGAACAUGAUGUGUGCUGCUGAUCCUCGCCACGGCCGCUACCUCACCGCCUCUGCC